ACUUAAAUAGUUUAAAUAAAACGUUCGCUUGUGGCGCUUAAGAUGUAUUUUUAUACUUUAAGUA
This 64-nucleotide transfer RNA is filed under the name Asthenognathus inaequipes. Its description in RNAcentral is "tRNA-His". It matches the Rfam family "tRNA". Rfam says of the family: Transfer RNA (tRNA) molecules are approximately 80 nucleotides in length. Lineage: Eukaryota; Metazoa; Arthropoda; Malacostraca; Decapoda; Varunidae. The record is from RNAcentral.